RNAcentral lists this ribosomal RNA (253 nucleotides) under uncultured bacterium. RNAcentral describes it as "partial 16S ribosomal RNA". It matches the Rfam family "Bacterial small subunit ribosomal RNA", at positions 524 to 776 of the family's 1533-position model. The record is from RNAcentral.
UACGUAGGGGGCAAGCGUUGUCCGGAAUUAUUGGGCGUAAAGAGCGCGUAGGCGGUCCGGUAAGUCGGCUGUGAAAGUCAAGGGCUCAACCCUUGAAAGCCGGCCGAUACUGUCGGACUAGAGUCCGGAAGAGGCGGGUGGAAUUCCCGGUGUAGCGGUGAAAUGCGCAGAUAUCGGGAGGAACACCAAUGGCGAAGGCAGCUCGCUGGGACGGUACUGACGCUGAGACGCGAAAGCGUGGGGAGCGAACAGG